GAAACCUACGGGGCGCAGCAGUGGGGAAUAUUGCACAAUGGGGGAAACCCUGAUGCAGCGACGCCGCGUGAGUGAAGAAGUAUUUCGGUAUGUAAAGCUCUAUCAGCAGGGAAGAAAAUGACGGUACCUGACUAAGAAGCCCCGGCUAACUACGUGCCAGCAGCCGCGGUAAUACGUAGGGGGCAAGCGUUAUCCGGAUUUACUGGGUGUAAAGGGAGCGUAGACGGCAUGGCAAGUCAGAUGUGAAAACUAUGGGCUCAACCCAUAGCCUGCAUUUGAAACUGUAUUUCUUGAGUGCUGGAGAG
RNAcentral lists this ribosomal RNA (305 nucleotides) under uncultured bacterium. RNAcentral describes it as "bacterial SSU rRNA". It matches the Rfam family "Bacterial small subunit ribosomal RNA", at positions 334 to 656 of the family's 1533-position model. The record is from RNAcentral.